Molecule: long non-coding RNA, 1306 nt
Filed under: Sarcophilus harrisii (Tasmanian devil)
Lineage: Eukaryota; Metazoa; Chordata; Mammalia; Dasyuromorphia; Dasyuridae
Description: lncRNA (ENSSHAG00000027452.1)
Source: RNAcentral
AUGUUUUUUCAAGAUAUCUAUGUACAAGACCACAAAUUCAGUUUGGCAGGACCCGGGCGAUGGAACGCUAGCGCCCCGGGGUUCUCUAGGGGAUCCAGCCUUGCAGACAUCUUGCUCUCCCUGGGCAUCCUGUGCAGGACCGCCCGGGUCCCCCCUCCCCUUAAAGACGCAGCGCUGCAUUCCCUAAUCCGGCCCGGAGGCGUGCAUGAUCCGCACGGACCCCUUCCAGUCAAAAGCCAAAGCUUUCACAAAAUGCUGAGGCUCAGAAGCAGCCUUAAAAUAACUCGCCGCAGGCGUCCAUUAGCUUAAAAGAGUAAAAGCGAGUUUGCUUUUUUCCCCAGUAAUGUAAACUUUUUAAAAUAAAUGUGAUCUGCCAAGACCUGCGUUCUUAGGUCCGUGUUUCUCCCGGACUGUUUGCUUCUCCCCGGGCAGGAGGCGCGUUGAUGUUCCCAAGGGGAAAUGCCUGCAGUCAGAGCUGCUGGAGCUUCUAACCUGUUGCAAAUGCGGAAUCAACCGGUGUGUGUUGCUCUUGGUUUGGAUUUCCGCGUUUGGGAAGAGGUUCCCAUUAUUAGUAGUAGUAUUAUUACUACUACUACCCUAAGCAUCACACCCUAACCAGCCAUAACAGUAAUAGUGGCUCACACUUAAACAACUUUUUACGGUCGGCGGAAUAUUUUAUAUUCUUAAACAAUACUGUGGAAGUAUCUUGCAUAUACACAUUUGUGUUAGUUCGACUCCCCAUUAUAUUGUAAGUUGCUCGAGACACUCAAUUGUUUUUGUGUUUCCUGUAUCAAACAGGUUGGCUGGUUGAUGUUCACGAUAACUUAUUAUAAGGAACCGCUACUGGUUACAAAUGCACGAAAUUAUUACUUAUUGUUCAACUGACUGACAAUAGUUAAAAUAAGGGUGGUGUUAGGGAUGAAUGAAAGAGAGGAAUGAUGAACCCGGAAGAACAAGGAAAGGUUAAAGGACUAAAGAUCUCAGAACAAUUUGUGAAUGACCACCAUUUUUUAAGCUCUCAUUAUGUGCCAAAUGGGCAACUGGGUGAUGAAGUCAUUAGAGACCUAGGCUUAGAACCAAUUGGAAUUGGAUUCAUCAAUUUUGAUCAUAGGCAUUAAUUAGCUGUGUAAUUCUGGUCAAAUUGCUUAACUCUACCUCAGUUUCCUCAGAUGCAAAAUGAACUGGAGGAAUUGCAAAUUAUUUCAGUAUUGCCACAAGGAAAAUUCAGAUGGGGACAUGAGGAACUGGAUACAACUGAACAACAGCAACAAGAGCAUGUGCCAGAUGCCUGGGAUACAAAUAAAGG